Long non-coding RNA from Xiphophorus maculatus (southern platyfish), 415 nucleotides. RefSeq lists it as uncharacterized. The transcript is spliced from 5 exons. The record is from RefSeq and is a predicted model, not a curated record. Lineage: Eukaryota; Metazoa; Chordata; Actinopteri; Cyprinodontiformes; Poeciliidae.
AUGAAGCACCCGAUGCAGAUCAGGAAGCCAAUAGCUUUCCUCAAACAUCUCAAGAAGCCAAUCUACAGGCUCUCUCUUCAGCUGAAACAUCCGUCUUCUCAACUCCAACAUUUACAUUCAACUUCAGUCCCACCAGCUCUCCUCGUCAAGGCACUCCCGAUUCUAAAUCUUCAGCUUUUGUGCUGAAUCUGAACUCUAAUGUUAGCACACCUGGAUUUCCUGGAUUUGGAUUUGAUGUUGGCCCAUCCCAAGAAGAAGAAUCCUCUUUUGCUUUUCCUGGCUCUUUUUUCAACGACAAGAAAGCCACAGAUGCUAAAUCUUCAAGCACUACCGAGUUCCUGUUUGACCAACCAGAACAAAGUGAAGACUUCCAGUUUCCCUUUACAAGCAAGAGUCCUCAGUCAAGCAAGAAAAU